CCUACGGGAGGCAGCAGUGGGGAAUAUUGGACAAUGGGGGCAACCCUGAUCCAGCCAUGCCGCGUGUGUGAAGAAGGCCCUCGGGUUGUAAAGCACUUUCAGCGAGGAAGAACGCCUAGCGGUUAAUACCCGCUAGGAAAGACAUCACUCGCAGAAGAAGCACCGGCUAACUCCGUGCCAGCAGCCGCGGUAAUACGGAGGGUGCAAGCGUUAAUCGGAAUUACUGGGCGUAAAGCGCGCGUAGGUGGCUUGAUAAGCCGGUUGUGAAAGCCCCGGGCUCAACCUGGGAACGGCAUCCGGAACUGUCAAGCUAGAGUGCAGGAGAGGAAGGUAGAAUUCCCGGUGUAGCGGUGAGAUGCGUAGAGAUCGGGAGGAAUACCAGUGGCGAAGGCGGCCUUCUGGACUGACACUGACACUGAGGUGCGAAAGCGUGGGUAGCAAACAGGAUUAGAUACCCUGGUAGUCCACGCCGUAAACGAUGUCGACCAGCCGUUGGGUGCCUAGCGCACUUUGUGGCGAAGUUAACGCGAUAAGUCGACCGCCUGGGGAGUACGGCCGCAAGGUUAAAACUCAAAUGAAUUGACGGA
RNAcentral lists this ribosomal RNA (587 nucleotides) under uncultured bacterium. RNAcentral's name for it is "bacterial SSU rRNA". It matches the Rfam family "Bacterial small subunit ribosomal RNA", at positions 338 to 917 of the family's 1533-position model. The record is from RNAcentral.